This 424-nucleotide ribosomal RNA is filed under the name uncultured prokaryote. RNAcentral's name for it is "bacterial SSU rRNA". It matches the Rfam family "Bacterial small subunit ribosomal RNA", at positions 355 to 796 of the family's 1533-position model. The record is from RNAcentral.
UGGGGAAUCUUGGACAAUGGGCGAAAGCCUGAUCCAGCCAUGCCGCGUGUGUGAUGAAGGCCCUAGGGUUGUAAAGCACUUUCAAUGGGGAAGAUAAUGACGGUACCCAUACAAGAAGCCCCGGCUAACUUCGUGCCAGCAGCCGCGGUAAUACGAAGGGGGCUAGCGUUGUUCGGAAUUACUGGGCGUAAAGCGCGCGUAGGCGGAUUGAUCAGUCAGGGGUGAAAUCCCGGGGCUCAACCCCGGAACUGCCUUUGAUACUGUCAAUCUAGAGGUCGAGAGAGGUGAGUGGAAUUCCGAGUGUAGAGGUGAAAUUCGUAGAUAUUCGGAGGAACACCAGUGGCGAAGGCGGCUCACUGGCUCGAAUCUGACGCUGAGGUGCGAAAGCGUGGGGAGCAAACAGGAUUAGAUACCCCCGUAGUCC